Fukomys damarensis (Damara mole-rat) is the source of this 637-nucleotide long non-coding RNA. RefSeq lists it as uncharacterized. The record is from RefSeq and is a predicted model, not a curated record. Lineage: Eukaryota; Metazoa; Chordata; Mammalia; Rodentia; Bathyergidae. The transcript has 3 exons.
CCAUGGGGAAGGGGCUCAGAGGGGCUCAGUGAGCCAGAGAAGACCAAUGUGGAGCUUGCACUAGGCAAAACAGCCAGGCACAAGGCCUCAAGGGUGUCAGGACAACUGGGAGGGAUCUUCGUAGGAUCUUUUCCAGAGUCCUUUCUCCCCCUGCAGAGAGCAAUGCUGCCCUGAACUAACAGGGACCAUAUGCUUGGACAGAACUGGCAAAGAGCUGCAUUUCUGCAAGCACAGGGCUGCAGGCGAUGCUUGGCUAAUGGCUCCUCCCUGCACCACCUGGCCUCAGCCCAGUGUCUCCAGCACCACCCACUCUACAUGCUGUGCUUCUGGGUAGAUCUGUGAAUGGUUGAGCAAGUGGUCCUGGGAUUCCACUUUCCUGGUCAACCCUGCACCACACGAAGGAGCAGCUGGGAUGUCGCAUAAUAAUGACUCGGGGAUGUGGAUUGACAAGGGCCACUGGGGUAAGGCCUGAAGGACAAAGCCAGAGAAGGCCAUUUGACACGGGUCUUUUGAGAGGCUGGGGAACGAAUCUGACACGUUUGCUGCCUCCUCCUAUGGAAGACGGAAGACCCAUUAGCCAGGACAAGCUUCCUGAGAGCAGGAAACCAACUAAUCACCCAUUCCUGGGAAGCCUCCC